This 222-nucleotide ribosomal RNA is filed under the name uncultured bacterium. RNAcentral describes it as "partial 16S ribosomal RNA". It matches the Rfam family "Bacterial small subunit ribosomal RNA", at positions 524 to 745 of the family's 1533-position model. The record is from RNAcentral.
UACGGAGGAUCCAAGCGUUAUCCGGAUUCACUGGGUUUAAAGGGUGCGUAGGUGGAAUGACAAGUCAGUGGUGAAAACCUGCAGCUUAACUGUAGAACUGCCAUUGAUACUGUUAUCCUUGAGUACAUUUGAUGUGAGUGGAAUGUGUCGUGUAGCGGUGAAAUGCUUAGAUAUGACACAGAACACCAAUUGCGAAGGCAGCUCACAAAACUGUAACUGACA